RNAcentral lists this ribosomal RNA (498 nucleotides) under uncultured bacterium. Its description in RNAcentral is "partial 16S ribosomal RNA". It matches the Rfam family "Bacterial small subunit ribosomal RNA", at positions 29 to 523 of the family's 1533-position model. The record is from RNAcentral.
AUUGAACGCUGGCGGCAUGCCUUACACAUGCAAGUCGAACGGUAACGCGGGGCAACCUGGCGACGAGUGGCGAACGGGUGAGUAAUAUAUCGGAACGUGCCCAGUAGUGGGGGAUAGCCCGGCGAAAGCCGGAUUAAUACCGCAUACGACCUACGGGUGCAAGGGGGGGAUCGCAAGACCUCUCGCUAUUGGAGCGGCCGAUAUCAGAUUAGGUAGUUGGUGGGGUAAAAGCCCACCAAGCCAACGAUCUGUAGCGGGUCUGAGAGGACGACCAGCCACACUGGGACUGAGACACGGCCCAGACUCCUACGGGAGGCAGCAGUGGGGAAUUUUGGACAAUGGGCGAAAGCCUGAUCCAGCCAUGCCGCGCACGGGAAGAAGGCCUUCGGGUUGUAAACCGCUUUUGUCAGGGAAGAAAUCCUUUGAGCUAAUACCUCGGGGGGAUGACGGUACCUGAAGAAUAAGCACCGGCUAACUACGUGCCAGCCGCCGCGGUAA